RNAcentral lists this ribosomal RNA (258 nucleotides) under Staphylococcus aureus. Its description in RNAcentral is "partial 16S ribosomal RNA". It matches the Rfam family "Bacterial small subunit ribosomal RNA", at positions 1 to 247 of the family's 1533-position model. The record is from RNAcentral. Lineage: Bacteria; Bacillati; Bacillota; Bacilli; Caryophanales; Staphylococcaceae.
UUUUAUGGAGAGUUUGAUCCUGGCUCAGGAUGAACGCUGGCGGCGUGCCUAAUACAUGCAAGUCGAGCGAACGGACGAGAAGCUUGCUUCUCUGAUGUUAGCGGCGGACGGGUGAGUAACACGUGGAUAACCUACCUAUAAGACUGGGAUAACUUCGGGAAACCGGAGCUAAUACCGGAUAAUAUUUUGAACCGCAUGGUUCAAAAGUGAAAGACGGUCUUGCUGUCACUUAUAGAUGGAUCCGCGCUGCAUUAGCUA